This is a long non-coding RNA of Wasmannia auropunctata (little fire ant), 130 nucleotides long. RefSeq lists it as uncharacterized. The record is from RefSeq and is a predicted model, not a curated record. The transcript is spliced from 2 exons. NCBI's taxonomy places the organism in Eukaryota, Metazoa, Arthropoda, Insecta, Hymenoptera, Formicidae.
UUUUAACAAAAUUAAGCAGACGCGCAUUUAAUCCAGAGCAACGGUUGGCCAUAACACUAAGAUAUUUAGCGUCAGGAGAUCAAAUAUUAUCUAUCGCGCUGGCUUUCAGAUGUGGAGAAUCAACUGUUCG